Molecule: ribosomal RNA, 252 nt
Filed under: uncultured bacterium
Lineage: Bacteria
Description: partial 16S ribosomal RNA
Rfam family: Bacterial small subunit ribosomal RNA
Source: RNAcentral
UCUGAUGGCGAGUGGCGAACGGGUGAGUAACAUAUCGGAACGUACCUAGUAAUGGGGAACAACCAGCCGAAAGGUUGGCUAAUACCGCAUACGACCUACGGGUGAAAGCAGGGGAUCUUCGGACCUUGCGUUAUUAGAGCGGCCGAUAUCUGAUUAGGUAGUUGGUAGGGUAAAGGCCUACCAAGCCGACGAUCAGUAGCUGGUCUGAGAGGAUGGACAGCCACAUUGGGACUGAGAUACGGCCCAGACUCC